AGGGUUGCUGGAGGUAUCAGAAGUGCGAAUGCUGACAUAAGUAACGAUAAAGCGGGUGAAAAGCCCGCUCGCCGGAAGACCAAGGGUUCCUGUCCAACGUUAAUCGGGGCAGGGUGAGUCGACCCCUAAGGCGAGGCCGAAAGGCGUAGUCGAUGGGAAACGGGUUAAUAUUCCCGUACUUGGUGUUACUGCGAAGGGGGGACGGAGAAGGCUAUGUUGGCCGGGCGACGGUUGUCCCGGUUUAAGCGUGUAGGCUGGUUUUCCAGGCAAAUCCGGAAAAUCAAGGCUGAGGCGUGACGACGAGGCACUACGGUGCUGAAGCAACAAAUGCCCUGCUUCCAGGAAAAGCCUCUAAGCAUCAGGUAACAUCAAAUCGUACCCCAAACCGACACAGGUGGUCAGGUAGAGAAUACCAAGGCGCUUGAGAGAACUCGGGUGAAGGAACUAGGCAAAAUGGUGCCGUAACUUCGGGAGAAGGCACGCUGACACGUAGGUGAAGUGAUUUACUCAUGGAGCUGAAGUCAGUCGAAGAUACCAGCUGGCUGCAACUGUUUAUUAAAAACACAGCACUGUGCAAACACGAAAGUGGACGUAUACGGUGUGACGCCUGCCCGGUGCCGGAAGGUUAAUUGAUGGGGUCAGCGCAAGCGAAGCUCCUGAUCGAAGCCCCGGUAAACGGCGGCCGUAACUAUAACGGUCCUAAGGUAGCGAAAUUCCUUGUCGGGUAAGUUCCGACCUGCACGAAUGGCGUAAUGAUGGCCAGGCUGUCUCCACCCGAGACUCAGUGAAAUUGAACUCGCUGUGAAGAUGCAGUGUACCCGCGGCAAGACGGAAAGACCCCGUGAACCUUUACUAUAGCUUGACACUGAACAUUGAGCCUUGAUGUGUAGGAUAGGUGGGAGGCUUUGAAGUGUGGACGCCAGUCUGCAUGGAGCCGACCUUGAAAUACCACCCUUUAAUGUUUGAUGUUCUAACGUGGACCCGUAAUCCGGGUUGCGGACAGUGUCUGGUGGGUAGUUUGACUGGGGCGGUCUCCUCCUAAAGAGUAACGGAGGAGCACGAAGGUUGGCUAAUCCUGGUCGGACAUCAGGAGGUUAGUGCAAUGGCAUAAGCCAGCUUGACUGCGAGCGUGACGGCGCGAGCAGGUGCGAAAGCAGGUCAUAGUGAUCCGGUGGUUCUGAAUGGAAGGGCCAUCGCUCAACGGAUAAAAGGUACUCCGGGGAUAACAGGCUGAUACCGCCCAAGAGUUCAUAUCGACGGCGGUGUUUGGCACCUCGAUGUCGGCUCAUCACAUCCUGGGGCUGAAGUAGGUCCCAAGGGUAUGGCUGUUCGCCAUUUAAAGUGGUACGCGAGCUGGGUUUAGAACGUCGUGAGACAGUUCGGUCCCUAUCUGCCGUGGGCGCUGGAGAACUGAGGGGGGCUGCUCCUAGUACGAGAGGACCGGAGUGGACGCAUCACUGGUGUUCGGGUUGUCAUGCCAAUGGCACUGCCCGGUAGCUAAAUGCGGAAGAGAUAAGUGCUGAAAGCAUCUAAGCACGAAACUUGCCCCGA
RNAcentral lists this ribosomal RNA (1551 nucleotides) under Salmonella enterica subsp. enterica serovar Bareilly. RNAcentral's name for it is "partial 23S ribosomal RNA". It matches the Rfam family "Bacterial large subunit ribosomal RNA", at positions 1266 to 2802 of the family's 2925-position model. The record is from RNAcentral. Lineage: Bacteria; Pseudomonadati; Pseudomonadota; Gammaproteobacteria; Enterobacterales; Enterobacteriaceae.